This is a long non-coding RNA of Alosa sapidissima (American shad), 2298 nucleotides long. RefSeq lists it as uncharacterized. The transcript has 2 exons. Lineage: Eukaryota; Metazoa; Chordata; Actinopteri; Clupeiformes; Clupeidae. The record is from RefSeq and is a predicted model, not a curated record.
GACAGUGUAUUGGUACCAGUCUAUGAAGUGGGCAGAUUGAGAAUGAGGAAAUGACCCUCUCUGAAUGAUAAUUUCCUCUCUCUCUCUCUCUCUCUCUCUCUCUCUCUCUCUCUCUCUCACACACACACACACACACACACACACACACAGAAUAUUGAACCCUUUCUGGCCAGAACAGACCACUUCACCAACUUUUGUCUGCGACUGCGAUUGAGAUGCCUUUCUUGUGGUUUGGUCGACUGCAGUAAUCUUAGUGAGUGACCCGGAGGCUGUUGCCGUUCUUUCUCUGGAAAUUUGGGCCCUUGGCCCGUGAGCAUCAGGGCCAUACAGAGUGCUGUUUUCUUGGCCACUGCUCCUGAAGACAGAGGCUUGUUUGAGCUGAUGUGCUUGAGGCCGUAAGUGUGUUUGGAGCUGCAUCAUUGUGAAGGCCUCUGCUCCCUGAGUAACUGUGUCCUUGUUGUGCUGUUGUUGUGAGAGAGAUAUGAGGGUGAGAUGGUGUACCUGCGGGGGAUUAAUAGUCCUGAUGGGAGGUGCUGGGAGCAUAGUGGUUAAGGAGCUGGGCCAGCAUGUAGUAGCCUAGAAAGUUGGGGGUUCAAUUCCCGGCUUCCACCGUUGUGCCCUUGAGCAAGGCAAUUAACCCCAAGUUGCCCCGAGGCCAUUGGCUCUUGUAAUAUAUUUGACAUAAUGUAAAUGACAUUAUAGAAGCGUCUGCUAAAUGUAAACGUAAUGUAGGGUUUCCUGAAGGGUUUGUUUUUAGGUGAAUUAGUAUGGGUGUCUCUGGGAGAAUUGGGGGUCCUAGCAAGUCUGUAAUAGACUAAAUGUAGGCUUUCCUCUAGGGUUAUAAGGUUAUUAGAUAAGAGAUUAUUGGAAUGGUCACAUGUAACUUGUCCUUAAGGGAAAUAUGACCCAGUCCUAAUGUGGAUGGGAUUAGGUCUAUACUAGAGGUUUGGGGUUUAUGCUAGGCUUGGGAGAGAAGUGUGUGUGUGUGUGUGUGUGUGUGGGUGUGUGUGUGUAUUCAUGUGUGUGAAAAGGGAGCUGUACAAAGGUGAGUGUACAGCUCUGCGGUGGCCUUACUAAGUUUUAUGUGUGUGUGGGGGUGAAGUGUGUGUUCUCUGUGUCUGGGUGUGUGUUUGUGCUGUGGCCAUGUUUUUGUGUGUGUGUGUCUGUGUGUGUGUGUGUGUUGUCAUCUCCUUGUCCCUGCUUUGGCUGUGUGUGUUAAUUUGUGAGGACGACAUCCUGUCCACUGUGGUCAGGAUACUAACUAUAAGCACUGUCUCUAAUGCAACUAUACACACAGACAGCAUCUCUAAUGCAAGAAUAGAUACACACACACACCAAAGAAGACCAGUAACCAAUUUGUCACAACACCAUUGGAUACUGGUGGGGACGUUCGCUGUGUGCUAUGGCUUUGAGGUCAUGAUCUACGGACCUCUGGACAUUGUCUUGCCGGUCUCAUUCGAUGCUAUCGUGUAGCAACACACACACACACACACACAUUCUCUCUCUCUUGCCUGCAAACCCACACCAGAGCAGUAAUGUGCCUGUUUCCACGCCAACGCACCGCUUCACCGUGUCCAUUUCCUCCUCAACGCAGAAGGACUCUGUUCUAGGUUUUUUUCCCCUUGUUUUGAUUUUUCUGCUGUCUGGUCUAAAAUGUGAACUCUCUCCCCGGCGGUGGCUCCACAAGGACAGCCCAACACCCCCAUGCCCCACCGGACGCUCUGCCUCUGAUCAUGCCUCCUCUGAUGAGUGCUCCUGGUAGCCACCUUGCCCCAGACUCUCUCUCUCACACACACACACACACUCACUCACACUUGUGGCUCACAAAAGCAACAAAUAACGAGAUUCUCGCUUCUCCCUGAAAACAAAAACAAUAACAAAUGAUUGUAUGAGGAGCAGAGCAGAUCUCGCCCAUCAAGUGAAGCUGCCUGGUCAGGCCAUUGACCCCCUUGACACAAACACACACACACUCUUGCGUGCUCAGAAACCCAGUGUAACAUAUCAGCUGUAGAUAGACACUGUACAGACUGACCCUUGCUGGAGAUGUGUAUAAAGUAUUCAUUUUUAAUCUGCUUUACCCAUUUUAAUGGAUUAAUUAAUUGACUGACUGACUGAUUAAUUGAUUGAUCGGUUGAAUGAAUGGAGACACACAAAAAAAAAAAAAAAAUCUGUGGGGGGUGUGCGCUGUGCUCAGGAUUCACCAAAACCCUGUUGGCUGUCGAUCUGUUGGGAGUGAUUUUUCUCUUGGUUGGAUCUGCCUGUGGAAGACAUGUACUUAAUAAAUGUGUCCGACCAGCA